RNAcentral lists this ribosomal RNA (492 nucleotides) under uncultured bacterium. RNAcentral describes it as "partial 16S ribosomal RNA". It matches the Rfam family "Bacterial small subunit ribosomal RNA", at positions 29 to 507 of the family's 1533-position model. The record is from RNAcentral.
AGUGAACGCUGGCGGUAGGCCUAACACAUGCAAGUCGAACGGCAGCACAGUAAGAGCUUGCUCUUACGGGUGGCGAGUGGCGGACGGGUGAGGAAUGCAUCGGAAUCUACUUUUUCGUGGGGGAUAACGUAGGGAAACUUCCGCUACUACCGCAUACGACCUACGGGUGAAAGCAGGGGAUCUUCGGACCUUGCGCGUUUGAAUGAGCCGAUGUCGGAUUAGCUAGUUGGCGGGGUAAAGGCCCACCAAGGCGACGAUCCGUAGCUGGUCUGAGAGGAUGAUCAGCCACACUGGAACUGAGACACGGUCCAGACUCCUACGGGAGGCAGCAGUGGGGAAUAUUGGACAAUGGGCGCAAGCCUGAUCCAGCCAUACCGCGUGGGUGAAGAAGGCCUUCGGGUUGUAAAGCCCUUUUGUUGGGAAAGAAAAGCAGCAGGUUAAUACCCCGCUGUUCUGACGGUACCCAAAGAAUAAGCACCGGCUAACUUCGUG